RNAcentral lists this ribosomal RNA (270 nucleotides) under Triticum aestivum (bread wheat). RNAcentral's name for it is "partial small subunit ribosomal RNA". The record is from RNAcentral. Lineage: Eukaryota; Viridiplantae; Streptophyta; Magnoliopsida; Poales; Poaceae.
AUGGCAGACCAGCAGCAAGACGAAGUGGGGCCGGCGUCGGCCUUGGCGUGGAGCAAGGGAAGCAGAGCUCCUGCUAGGGCGAUGGCGGCGAGCAGGCAACGAAACUUGGCCGAUGCGGAGCAGAGCAGCGGCGAGGAGGAGAAGGGAGCAGGGGCAUCCCGGAUGUGGAGUGGCGCCUGGUCGCCGGCGAGGUGGUCGUCCGGCCGAGGAGACGAACGCAGGGUCGUGCGCUGUUGCGGGGUGCUCGUCUCCCAUGCGGCUCGGGCGUGA